This 253-nucleotide ribosomal RNA is filed under the name uncultured bacterium. RNAcentral's name for it is "partial 16S ribosomal RNA". It matches the Rfam family "Bacterial small subunit ribosomal RNA", at positions 524 to 776 of the family's 1533-position model. The record is from RNAcentral.
UACGGAGGGGGCUAGCGUUAUUCGGAAUUAUUGGGCGUAAAGGGCGUGUAGGCGGCUUCGUGUGUCCCAUGUGAAAGCCCUCGGCUCAACCGGGGAACUGCAUGGGAAACUGCGGAGCUUGAGUCCGGGAGAGGUGAGUGGAAUUCCCAGUGUAGCGGUGAAAUGCGUAGAUAUCAAGAGGAACACCUGAGGUGAAGACGGGUUGCUGGGCUGACACUGACGCUGAGGCGCGAAAGCCAGGGGAGCAAACGGG